Molecule: non-coding RNA, 80 nt
Organism: Cronartium quercuum f. sp. fusiforme G11
Lineage: Eukaryota; Fungi; Basidiomycota; Pucciniomycetes; Pucciniales; Coleosporiaceae
Source: the annotation of a GenBank genome assembly
GCGACAUUGGUGUAGCGGUUAGCAUUGAAGCCUUCCAUUGAGAAUAGCUUUAGUCCUGGGUUCGAAUCCCGGAUGUCGCA